AUAUAAAAUAACACUCGAGCAACGGUUCUUUAAACAAAAAAAAUACAUUUUCAAAAAAUACAACAACUUAAAUCUAUGACCCACCCAUAGGACGGAAUAGAAGAAAUGGCACCUGCUUUGAAAGAUGAACAAAAAGAAAAAAAGGAACUGCAAAGUUUUAAAAAACAAAGUAGAUUCCAGAAUCAAAUGAACAAAUUGAAGGUUAUACGAUAGCAACGAUACGAUACGAUAGCAAAAAAUUAAAAAAGAUUUAAUGUACGUUCAAAGUUUCGGGCAUUCGUAAAACAUUAGUGCUCUUAAGAUGCGGUAGUGUACCAAAGACGCCGUUUGUGAUGCUUUUGGAAAAAGGAUCUAUUCCAUCUUCAAGCUCAAAAUAAUCCGAAAAAGUGUGCAUUAUUUUUUAAUGUUCUUUAAUGUUCUUCCUUUUGUAACGGAAAAAUUUGUUAUAAAAAAAGUUGCUUUCCGUGUUUUACGCUUAUAAUAUAAUAAAUAUAUAUUAUAUAUAUA
This is a non-coding RNA of Hydra vulgaris (swiftwater hydra), 507 nucleotides long. Lineage: Eukaryota; Metazoa; Cnidaria; Hydrozoa; Anthoathecata; Hydridae. The record is from RefSeq and is a predicted model, not a curated record.